UCUGUCAAUAUAACAUAGUCAUCACCGGCAAAACAUUCCACGAAGAAAAUAAUGAGUUAAAAACGCCUUUCAAAACUCGGAAAGAAAACAGAUGUUUAAAACUUCUUACACCUAUGAACAAUCGGCAACGGAAGAUUAAAGGUGUGAAAUAUAAACGAAGAGAGUGAGAAACGCGAGAGAAAUCGAGAGAGGCAUCAGAUCUUCCUAUUCAAUUAAGAAUGAAUCAAAAUGCCCAAAUCGAAAUCCGAGCAUUCAGCAACUGAAAAUGUUCAUCAAUUGGCCUCACUGAUUUCGUUGAAUUACAAAAUAGAAAACCGACAAUAAGAAAAGAGAUAAUAAGGCGGAGCAACAGAAGAACACAAAAAAUACACAACAGCACCGAGAGAAACUCGAGGCUGAGGAGCGAGAGAAUACGGCUACUGUGAGCCCUAGG
RNAcentral lists this long non-coding RNA (433 nucleotides) under Prunus dulcis (almond). Its description in RNAcentral is "sRNA ncRNA". The record is from RNAcentral. Lineage: Eukaryota; Viridiplantae; Streptophyta; Magnoliopsida; Rosales; Rosaceae.